UUUUUUUUUCUUUUUUAGGGAAAUCUGAAUUAACAAAGGUGGAAUUUUUUGAGGAAAAUGUUGAGCACCAGCCAGUGGUAAAGAAAGAAGCGAAGGCAUCAACUGCGAGGCAAGAGUGGUGAAGAAGAGGUGCAGAGGAGCAAAGAGAAAGGCACACUGGGCAAAUGGCUGUCCCGGUCGUCAGGUCUGUGGACAUGUAAGAAAAGCAUGGCCGGCACCUUUGGUGUCCUGGCCAGCUUUGCAAAUUGGAGAGAAGGAGCUUCCGUUUGCCUUUGGGACCAGGGCUGCCCCAUAACUCGGGGCCCAGCCAGUGCCCUAGUGUCCACUUUGUGGUCCAGGCAGGGGCUUGAGCCCCCUAUAAGCAGGGGUGCAGCCUGUCUGGCUGCUGCUUUGCCUGCCCAGCUCCGUUUGCCCAGGGUGCCCGCCUCUGAGCCCAGCUCCAGCACCAGCUGGACCUCUUCUACGUGUCCUUCAGUGGCAGCCGGUGGCGAAGAAAGAAGAGGCAUCAUGUGGAACUGUGAGGCAAGAGUGGUGAAGUAAAGGUCUGAAAUGAAAGGUGCUUCUACUCCUUUUUCAAUAUUGUGGUAGUUUGAAAUGAAGUAGUCUGAUUAAAUAAAUCCUGUAAAUAUGUAGUAAGUUUAUAAGACUCUUUUGGCAGUACUUUGAAUUUUUCCUGUAUUCAAAUUAGAAACCUUGACAGUAAUGAUGGUCCCAAAUCAAUUGAAAUAUGGCCUUUCAUUGCCCUCCCUCCUCCCCCUCUCUGCCGCAAAUGAAUCACUUUUAAGGACAACUUCAUGACAGUAAUAAUGAACUUUGCAGCUAUAUCCUUAUGGUAUAUAGACUCAUAACUACCUUCUACUGUAAAACUUUCAUGUUGAAACAACACUACUGUCAUAUUACUUUUCAAGGGUUCAUUUUAUCUAUAAAAAUAAUUUUAUAUUCCAUCAAGUUUGCUCUUCAGGUUUUUGAACCCUACCAUUCAUAAUAUUUGCAUCUUCCCUUUCAAGAAACUCCUCACGAUGUAGUGUGGUUUUAUAUCCAACAAAAUUUUAAAUAAAGAAGUUA
This is a long non-coding RNA of Anas platyrhynchos (mallard), 1065 nucleotides long. RefSeq lists it as uncharacterized. The record is from RefSeq and is a predicted model, not a curated record. Lineage: Eukaryota; Metazoa; Chordata; Aves; Anseriformes; Anatidae.